GUAUUGAAGGGGAGUUAGGAAGCACGAUAUCCAGAAGUGUUAGGUAGCCUCCCCCUAUAAUUAAAUAAAAUUUACUUACAAGUUACAACGAACAUAUAUAUAAUUCAAAGCUAAUAUUCUAUCCCAUUUUUGCGCAUGGUUUACUUGGGUGUUUUUUUCCAUUUUAUAACAAAUUUACAUUAUACUAUUAAUAAGAUUUUUUCCAUUUAAAUACGUAAGAGCGUAACUAAUCCAAAAUUAGCACAUACGUUCUUCACUACGCAAUUCCAAGAAAAGUUGACCGUAGUGCAUGCACGUUUGGAUCACUGUGUCGCACAAAAGAAUUUUGAUUCAUAGAUUCGCUGUUCCUUUUAAUUAUAAAUUUUGAACUUUGUUUUUCUCUUUUUUCGAGUUGUUUUAUAGUAAUAAAAAACAUUGAGAGGGAGAGGCGAUUCUAACAUUUUU
Arabidopsis thaliana (thale cress) is the source of this 444-nucleotide long non-coding RNA. RefSeq annotates it as other RNA. The record is from RefSeq. The transcript has a single exon. Lineage: Eukaryota; Viridiplantae; Streptophyta; Magnoliopsida; Brassicales; Brassicaceae.